AGAGUUUGAUCCUGGCUCAGAACGAACGCUGGCGGCAGGCCUAAUACAUGCAAGUCGAGCGGAAAGGCUCCUUCGGGAGUGCUCGAGCGGCGAACGGGUGAGUAACAGGUGGAUAACCUGCCUCUUGGUGGAGGAUAGCCGCUGGAAACGGCGGGUAAUACUGCAUGAGAUUCUCAGAACUUCGGUUUUGAGGAAGAAAGGCGCUUCUGGCGUCGCCGAGAGAUGGGUCCGCCCCCCAUUAGCUAGUUGGUGAGAUAAUAGCCCACCAAGGCAACGAUGGGUAGCCGGGCUGAGAGGUUGGCCGGCCACACUGGAACUGAGACACGGUCCAGACACCUACGGGUGGCAGCAGUAGGGAAUAUUGCGCAAUGGGCGAAAGCCUGACGCAGCCAUGCCGCGUGCGCGAUGAAGGCCUUCGGGUCGUAAAGCGCUUUUCUGAAGGAAGAACAGUCCCGGCAGGAAAUGGUCGGGAUUUGACGGUACUUCAGGAAUAAGCAACGGCUAACUCCGUGCCAGCAGCCGCGGUAAGACGGAGGUUGCAAGCGUUGUUCGGAAUUACUGGGCGUAAAGGGGGCGCAGGCGGUUAGGUCAGUCUGUAGUGAAAACCUGGGGCUCAACCCUGGGAUUGCUUCGGAUACUGCCUAACUAGAGUUCGGAAGAGGAGAGUGGAAUUCCUGGUGUAGCGGUGAAAUGCGUAGAUAUCAGGAGGAACACCUGUGGCGAAAGCGACUCUCUGGUCCGAUACUGACGCUGAGGCCCGAAAGCGUGGGGAGCGAACAGGAUUAGAUACCCUGGGUAGUCCACGCCGUAAACGUUGUGCACUAGGUGUGGGAGGACAUCGACCCCUUCCGUGCCGCAGCUAACGCAUUAAGUGCACCGCCUGGGGAGUACGCCCGCAAGGGUGAAACUCAAAGGAAUUGACGGGGGCCCGCACAAGCGGUGGAGCAUGUGGUUUAAUUCGAUGCAACGCGAAGAACCUCACCCAGGCUUGACAUCCCGGGAAGUUCUUGGAAGCAAGUUCGUGCCCUUCGGGGAACCCGGUGACAGGUGUUGCAUGGCUGUCGUCAGCUCGUGUCGUGAGAUGUUGGGUUAAGUCCCGCAACGAGCGCAACCCCUAUCCUUAGUUACCAUCGGUUCGGCCGGGCACUCUAAGGAGACUGCCGCUGAUAAAGCGGAGGAAGGUGGGGACGACGUCAAGUCAUCAUGGCCCUUACGCCUGGGGCUACACACGUGCUACAAUGGCCGGCACAAAGGGCAGCUAGACCGCGAGGUGGAGCUAAUCCCAAAAAGCCGGUCUCAGUUCGGAUUGGAGUCUGCAACUCGACUCCAUGAAGUUGGAAUCGCUAGUAAUCGCGUAUCAGCAAUGACGCGGUGAAUACGUUCCCGGGCCUUGUACACACCGCCCGUCACAUGACCCGAGUCGGGGGCACCCGAAGUCGCUGACUCAACCCGCAAGGGAGAGAGGCGCCGAAGGUGUGCCUGGUAAGGGGGAUGAAGUCGUAACAAGGUAGCCGU
RNAcentral lists this ribosomal RNA (1515 nucleotides) under uncultured bacterium. RNAcentral's name for it is "bacterial SSU rRNA". It matches the Rfam family "Bacterial small subunit ribosomal RNA". The record is from RNAcentral.